This 616-nucleotide ribosomal RNA is filed under the name uncultured bacterium. RNAcentral's name for it is "bacterial SSU rRNA". The stretch from base 1 to 542 matches the Rfam family "Bacterial small subunit ribosomal RNA", at positions 338 to 873 of the family's 1533-position model. The record is from RNAcentral.
CCUACGGGAGGCAGCAGUGGGGAAUUUUGGACAAUGGGCGCAAGCCUGAUCCAGCCAUGCCGCGUGUGGGAAGAAGGCCUUCGGGUUGUAAACCACUUUUGUCAGGGAAGAAACGGCUCUUACUAAUAUUAGGGGCUAAUGACGGUACCUGAAGAAUAAGCACCGGCUAACUACGUGCCAGCAGCCGCGGUAAUACGUAGGGUGCAAGCGUUAAUCGGAAUUACUGGGCGUAAAGCGUGCGCAGGCGGCUUUGCAAGACAGAUGUGAAAUCCCCGGGCUCAACCUGGGAACUGCAUUUGUGACUGCAUGGCUAGAGUACGGUAGAGGGGGAUGGAAUUCCGCGUGUAGCAGUGAAAUGCGUAGAUAUGCGGAGGAACACCGAUGGCGAAGGCAAUCCCCUGGACCUGUACUGACGCUCAUGCACGAAAGCGUGGGGAGCAAACAGGAUUAGAUACCCUGGUAGUCCACGCCCUAAACGAUGUCAACUGGUUGUUGGACGGCUUGCUGUUCAGUAACGAAGCUAACGCGUGAAGUUGACCGCCUGGGGGNGGACGGCGCGAGUAGUAACGUAAGUAAGUAGAGCGNGAGAGNGCGACGACGACGACGAGGGAGGAGG